UAGGGAAUUUUCCGCAAUGGACGAAAGUCUGAUGGAGCAACGCCGCGUGCAGGAUGAAGGCUUUCGGGUCGUAAACUGCUUUUAUAUGUGACGAUUAUGACGGUAGCAUAUGAAUAAGGAUCGGCUAACUCCGUGCCAGCAGCCGCGGUCAUACGGAGGAUCCAAGCGUUAUCCGGAAUUACUGGGCGUAAAGAGUUGCGUAGGUGGCAUAAUAAGUCGGUAGUGAAAGCGUGGGGCUCAACCUCAUAUACAUUAUCGAAACUAUUAAGCUAGAGGACGAGAGAGGUAGCUAGAAUUCCUAGUGUAGGAGUGAAAUCCGUAGAUAUUAGGAGGAAUACCGAUGGCGUAGGCAGGCUACUGGCUCGUUCCUGACACUAAGGCACGAAAGCGUGGGGAGCGA
RNAcentral lists this ribosomal RNA (400 nucleotides) under uncultured bacterium. Its description in RNAcentral is "bacterial SSU rRNA". It matches the Rfam family "Bacterial small subunit ribosomal RNA", at positions 355 to 771 of the family's 1533-position model. The record is from RNAcentral.